This 492-nucleotide ribosomal RNA is filed under the name uncultured bacterium. RNAcentral's name for it is "partial 16S ribosomal RNA". It matches the Rfam family "Bacterial small subunit ribosomal RNA", at positions 29 to 507 of the family's 1533-position model. The record is from RNAcentral.
AGUGAACGCUGGCGGUAGGCCUAACACAUGCAAGUCGAACGGCAGCACAGUAAGAGCUUGCUCUUACGGGUGGCGAGUGGCGGACGGGUGAGGAAUACAUCGGAAUCUACUUUUUCGUGGGGGAUAACGUAGGGAAACUUACGCUAAUACCGCAUACGACCUACGGGUGAAAGCAGGGGAUCUUCGGACCUUGCGCGAUUGAAUGAGCCGAUGUCGGAUUAGCUAGUUGGCGGGGUAAAGGCCCACCAAGGCGACGAUCCGUAGCUGGUCUGAGCGGAUGAUCAGCCACACUGGAACUGAGACACGGUCCAGACUCCUACGGGAGGCAGCAGUGGGGAAUAGUGGACAAUGGGCGCAAGCCUGAUCCAGCCAUACCGCGUGGGUGAAGAAGGCCUUCGGGUUGUAAAGCCCUUUUGUUGGGAAAGAAAAGCAGCAGGUUAAUACCCCGCUGUUCUGACGGUACCCAAAGAAUAAGCACCGGCUAACUUCGUG